RNAcentral lists this ribosomal RNA (627 nucleotides) under uncultured bacterium. RNAcentral describes it as "bacterial SSU rRNA". It matches the Rfam family "Bacterial small subunit ribosomal RNA", at positions 134 to 749 of the family's 1533-position model. The record is from RNAcentral.
AGGCUGGGGAUAACAUUUGGAAACAGAUGCUAAUACCGAAUAAAACUUAGUGUCGCAUGACACAAAGUUAAAAGGCGCUUCGGCGUCACCUAGAGAUGGAUCCGCGGUGCACUAGUUAGUUGGUGGGGUAAAGGCCUACCAAGACAAUGAUGCAUAGCCGAGUUGAGAGACUGAUCGGCCACAUUGGGACUGAGACACGGCCCAAACUCCUACGGGAGGCUGCAGUAGGGAAUCUUCCACAAUGGGCGAAAGCCUGAUGGAGCAACGCCGCGUGUGUGAUGAAGGCUUUCGGGUCGUAAAGCACUGUUGUAUGGGAAGAACAGCUAGAAUAGGAAAUGAUUUUAGUUUGACGGUACCAUACCAGAAAGGGACGGCUAAAUACGUGCCAGCAGCCGCGGUAAUACGUAUGUCCCGAGCGUUAUCCGGAUUUAUUGGGCGUAAAGCGAGCGCAGACGGUUUAUUAAGUCUGAUGUGAAAGCCCGGAGCUCAACUCCGGAAUGGCAUUGGAAACUGGUUAACUUGAGUGCAGUAGAGGUAAGUGGAACUCCAUGUGUAGCGGUGGAAUGCGUAGAUAUAUGGAAGAACACCAGUGGCGAAGGCGGCUUACUGGACUGCAACUGACGUUGA